GACGAACGCUGCCUGUGUGCUUAACACAUGCAAGUCGAACGGUAAGGCUCCAGCUUGCUGGGGUACACGAGUGGCGAGCGGGUGAGUAACACGUGGGUGACCUGCCCUGCACUUCGGGAUAAGCCUGGGAAACUGGGUCUAAUACCGGAUAGGACCGCACCGUGAGGGUGUGGUGGAAAGUUUUUUCGGUGUGGGAUGGGCCCGCGGCCUAUCAGCUUGUUGGUGGGGUAAUGGCCUACCAAGGCGGCGACGGGUAGCCGGCCUGAGAGGGUGGACGGCCACAUUGGGACUGAGACACGGCCCAGACUCCUACGGGAGGCAGCAGUGGGGAAUAUUGCACAAUGGGCGGAAGCCUGAUGCAGCGACGCCGCGUGGGGGAUGACGGCCUUCGGGUUGUAAACUCCUUUCACCAUCGACGAAGGGUUUCUGACGGUAGAUGGAGAAGAAGCACCGGCUAACUACGUGCCAGCAGCCGCGGUAAUACGUAGGGUGCGAGCGUUGUCCGGAAUUACUGGGCGUAAAGAGCUCGUAGGUGGUUUGUCGCGUCGUCUGUGAAAUUCCGGGGCUUAACUCCGGGCGUGCAGGCGAUACGGGCAUAACUUGAGUACUGUAGGGGAGACUGGAAUUCCUGGUGUAGCGGUGAAAUGCGCAGAUAUCAGGAGGAACACCGGUGGCGAAGGCGGGUCUCCGGGCAGUAACUGACGCUGAGGAGCGAAAGCAUGGGGAGCGAACAGGAUUAGAUACCCUGGUAGUCCAUGCCGUAAACGGUGGGCGCUAGGUGUGGGUUUCCUUCCACGGGAUCCGUGCCGUAGCUAACGCAUUAAGCGCCCCGCCUGGGGAGUACGGCCGCAAGGCUAAAACUCAAAGGAAUUGACGGGGGCCCGCACAAGCGGCGGAGCAUGUGGAUUAAUUCGAUGCAACGCGAAGAACCUUACCUGGGCUUGACAUAUACAGGAUCGCGCCAGAGAUGGUGUUUCCCUUGUGGCUUGUAUACAGGUGGUGCAUGGUUGUCGUCAGCUCGUGUCGUGAGAUGUUGGGUUAAGUCCCGCAACGAGCGCAACCCUUGUCUUAUGUUGCCAGCACGUUGUGGUGGGGACUCGUAAGAAACUGCCGGGGUUAACUCGGAGGAAGGUGGGGAUGACGUCAAAUCAUCAUGCCCCUUAUGUCCAGGGCUUCACACAUGCUACAAUGGUCGGUACAGUGGGUUGCCAGUCCGUGAGGGCGAGCUAAUCCCGCAAAGCCGGUCUCAGUUCGGAUCGGGGUCUGCAACUCGACCCCGUGAAGUCGGAGUCGCUAGUAAUCGCAGAUCAGCAACGCUGCGGUGAAUNCGUUCCCGGCCCU
RNAcentral lists this ribosomal RNA (1341 nucleotides) under uncultured bacterium. RNAcentral's name for it is "16S ribosomal RNA". It matches the Rfam family "Bacterial small subunit ribosomal RNA", at positions 28 to 1381 of the family's 1533-position model. The record is from RNAcentral.